This 601-nucleotide long non-coding RNA is filed under the name Homo sapiens (human). RNAcentral's name for it is "HSALNT0105477". The record is from RNAcentral. Lineage: Eukaryota; Metazoa; Chordata; Mammalia; Primates; Hominidae.
AGAGACAGUUAGUGGCUUCUGAUCCAGGGAAGGUGGCAGUGUAGUGACAGAAACCUGAAGGGGAGUGGAUGGGAGUGAUGGCCCCACUGCCUGGGGGAGAGGCCAGGCUGGAGGCGGGACCUGGAGGAAUGGAGGCCAGUGCUACCCUCACACUCCCAGCCUCCUGUCCUGGUGGGAUUUGGACCCACAGAUCCCCAUGGUGCAUAUGUCAAGUCUGGCCUGUUCCACCUCUUUCUCAAAGGAAGGUUCUGAGCCUCCCUACCCAGUGUAGGGGUGGCAACGAUCCCUCAUUCAUUCAAGCAUUUAUGAACCACCCUCCCUAAGUCUAGCUCAUGCAGCACCAAAUUUAUUCACUUAGCUAAUGAUUGACCUACUGCUGUGUUCUAGGCACCAGGGAUACCACAUGGAGGCGUGCGCCAGAGCCCUGUCCCCUGGAGCCCUUGGGUUCAAAUACUGGUUCUACCUGGGAGUGGGCAGUAGUUGGCCUCCCAGCCUUGCAUCCUCAGCCAUUGAAUUAGUUAACAUGUGAAGACUCUUAGAACAGCGUAAGCGCUGCAGAAGAAUUUGCUGCUGCUGUUAUUAUUAUUCCAGACAUUAUUAU